Long non-coding RNA from Telopea speciosissima, 729 nucleotides. RefSeq lists it as uncharacterized. The record is from RefSeq and is a predicted model, not a curated record. The transcript has 2 exons. Lineage: Eukaryota; Viridiplantae; Streptophyta; Magnoliopsida; Proteales; Proteaceae.
UUGCAAAACUUUGUCUAAAUAAAGGUGUCAUCAUGUGUCUGACAUGCCAAGGGCAUGAUGUCCUGAUUUUCUGUAUAUCAGAAAAUGGACUAUCAAUAAUAAUUUUUUGCAUGGAUUAUUGCCUUAAGUAUAAAUUUGUAUACCCACUUUAUUGGAGAUGCAUAAAGAGCAAAGGAAUAAGGUUAGAUCUGUGGUAGUUCGUUCAUUGCAGUUACCCUCACUCUUUUUCUUAAAUAUUCCUUUGGGUAUGUGGGUAUGGUCUGGGCGUAAACUGGUAACUUGAUAUGAGAGUUGAUAUGGGUUGUGCACUUUCUGUGUUUAUAAUCAUUUUCAUCUCUUGGUUUUGUAGGGAUGUGAACAUGCACUUUUAUGCCUGCAGCCCAAUGGCAUUGUUGAUCCCAAAUCUCACAUCUUUGCAGAUCUGCAAGCUAUCAAUCAAAUCAAGAAGUUGAAGGAUGUUGCUUUGGCAUUAGUUCCUUCAAAUUCUCUUCAGGCACAGACAUCCGAAUACAUGAAGAAGAAGAGAGUUCAACAGAGCAAAGAGCGUGGUUCAUGUGCAACUGAUAGAGAUUGCAUAGGAAGUUCAAUGUUCAGAAAUGGAAUUAAGAAGCGAAUCAUGUGGAAAUUGCAUGAACAUCAAAGCAUGCAGCAAGUACCGCUGAAUCAUAGUAAAGAUCAUUACAGAUCUUGAAGGGUUAUGAUAUGAAGAUCAUUUCAACAUAUUCAUGG